Molecule: ribosomal RNA, 253 nt
Filed under: uncultured bacterium
Lineage: Bacteria
Description: partial 16S ribosomal RNA
Rfam family: Bacterial small subunit ribosomal RNA
Source: RNAcentral
GACGAACCGUGCGAACGUUGUUCGGAUUCACUGGGCUUAAAGGGCGCGUAGGCGGGCGGUCAAGUCGGGGGUGAAAUCUUUCAGCUUAACUGGAAAAGUGCCUCCGAUACUGAUCGCCUCGAGGGAGGUAGGGGCAUGUGGAACUUCCGGUGGAGCGGUGAAAUGCGUAGAUAUCGGAAGGAACGCCGGUGGCGAAAGCGACGUGCCGGACCUCUUCUGACGCUGAGGCGCGAAAGCUAGGGGAGCAAACGGG